AGCGAACGCUAGCGGCGAGCUUAACACAUGCAAGUCGAGCGGAGGGUUUCGGCCCUCAGCGGCGGACGGGUGAGUAACACGUAGGUUACGUGCCCUUUGGUGGGGAAUAACUUAGGGAAACCUGAGCUAAUACCGCAUAUGCCCUUCGGGUGGAAAGUCUUCGGACGCCAGAGGAUCGGCCUGCGGCCCAUUAUUUAAUCCUUGUUGGUGGGGUAACGGCUACCAAGGGUACGAUGGGUAGCUGGUCUGAGAGGAUGAUCAGCCACACUGGGACUGAGACACGGCCCAGACUCCUACGGGAGGCAGCAGUGGGGAAGUAUUGGACAAUGGGGGAAACCCGUGAUCCAGCUACGCCGCGUGGGUGAUGAAGGCCUCGGUUGUAA
Molecule: ribosomal RNA, 383 nt
Filed under: uncultured bacterium
Lineage: Bacteria
Description: bacterial SSU rRNA
Rfam family: Bacterial small subunit ribosomal RNA
Source: RNAcentral